GACGAACACUGGCGGCGUGCCUAAUACAUGCAAGUUGAGCGCUGAAGGUUGGUACUUGUACCAACUGGAUGAGCAGCGAACGGGUGAGUAACGCGUGGGGAAUCUGCCUUUGAGCGGGGGACAACAUUUGGAAACGAAUGCUAAUACCGCAUAAAAACUUUAAACACAAGUUUUAAGUUUGAAAGAUGCAAUUGCAUCACUCAAAGAUGAUCCCGCGUUGUAUUAGCUAGUUGGUGAGGUAAAGGCUCACCAAGGCGAUGAUACAUAGCCGACCUGAGAGGGUGAUCGGCCACAUUGGGACUGAGACACGGCCCAAACUCCUACGGGAGGCAGCAGUAGGGAAUCUUCGGGCAAUGGACGAAAGUCUGACCGAGCAAACGCCGCGUGAGUGAAAGAAAGGUUUUUCGGA
Molecule: ribosomal RNA, 409 nt
Filed under: Lactococcus lactis
Lineage: Bacteria; Bacillati; Bacillota; Bacilli; Lactobacillales; Streptococcaceae
Description: bacterial SSU rRNA
Rfam family: Bacterial small subunit ribosomal RNA
Source: RNAcentral